AGCUCAUGAAAAUAAGAAUCAACAAACAGAUGAAGCUAAAGAACGGUCUCAAGAUAAUGUCAACAUUGGUGAAGAUCAAAAAUUAGCUGAUGAAAAUAAGAAUCAGCUAACAAAUAAAAGCACAGAACGGUGGCAAGAUAAUGUCAACAAUGGUGAAGAUCAAGAAUCACCUCAUGAAAAUAAGAAUCAGCAAACAGAUAAAGUUACAGAACUGUCGCAAGAUAAUGGCAACAAAGGUGAAGAUCAAGAAUCACCUCAUGAAAAUAAGAAUCAGCAAACAGAUAAAGUUACAGAACUGUCGCAAGAUAAUGGCAACAAAGGUGAAGAUCAAGAAUCACCUCAUGAAUAUAAGAAUCAGCAAACAGAUAAAGUUACUGAACUGUCGCAAGAUAAUG
Long non-coding RNA from Xenia sp. Carnegie-2017, 395 nucleotides. RefSeq lists it as uncharacterized. The transcript is spliced from 2 exons. The record is from RefSeq and is a predicted model, not a curated record. NCBI's taxonomy places the organism in Eukaryota, Metazoa, Cnidaria, Anthozoa, Malacalcyonacea, Xeniidae.